RNAcentral lists this long non-coding RNA (207 nucleotides) under Oryza sativa tropical japonica subgroup. RNAcentral describes it as "lncRNA OsAzu_12g0006140". RNAcentral also lists the same sequence under 2 other names. Lineage: Eukaryota; Viridiplantae; Streptophyta; Magnoliopsida; Poales; Poaceae. The record is from RNAcentral.
GAGGACGACAACAUCGUGGUGGUUGACAGCGGCGGCCGGCGGCGGUUGAGGCGAAGGCGCUGCUCCGGGCCUCGCUAUCGGACGCCGAGCAACACCUUAACCAGCAAGGAGGUCAAGAGCAACAGCCGGCGGCUGCUCCACGUCGGCAAUAUUGAUAGAACAAGCAAGAAUGGUGCACGUACACUGUGGGGGCAUUUGUGCAAGUAA